Molecule: transfer RNA, 73 nt
Filed under: Phycisphaera sp. TMED9
Lineage: Bacteria; Pseudomonadati; Planctomycetota; Phycisphaerae; Phycisphaerales; Phycisphaeraceae
Also listed under: 9 other names
Description: tRNA-Phe
Rfam family: tRNA
About the family: Transfer RNA (tRNA) molecules are approximately 80 nucleotides in length. Their secondary structure includes four short double-helical elements and three loops (D, anti-codon, and T loops). Further hydrogen bonds mediate the characteristic L-shaped molecular structure. tRNAs have two regions of fundamental functional importance: the anti-codon, which is responsible for specific mRNA codon recognition, and the 3' end, to which the tRNAs corresponding amino acid is attached (by aminoacyl-tRNA synthetases). tRNAs cope with the degeneracy of the genetic code in two manners: having more than one tRNA (with a specific anti-codon) for a particular amino acid; and 'wobble' base-pairing, i.e. permitting non-standard base-pairing at the 3rd anti-codon position.
Source: RNAcentral
GGCGGCUUAGCUCAGUUGGUAGAGCACGGCAUUGAAAAUGCCGGUGUCCCCGGUUCAAGUCCGGGAGUCGCCA